Long non-coding RNA from Peromyscus eremicus (cactus mouse), 1297 nucleotides. RefSeq lists it as uncharacterized. The record is from RefSeq and is a predicted model, not a curated record. Lineage: Eukaryota; Metazoa; Chordata; Mammalia; Rodentia; Cricetidae. The transcript is spliced from 5 exons.
CUCUCAGCCCGCGAUCGCGCAGACACACCUGCCCAGGUGCGUUCCCCGCCCCGCGGCCCCGCGCUCACCGCCGCCCCGCGGGGGACACCCUCUCAGGACGGGCCACACACGCCCCGCGGCCAGCCCCACUCACCCUGCUCAGCCGCGAGAAGAAAGGGUGUCUCCGCGAAGCCCCGCCGACCGCUCCCACCAACUUAACAACUCUCCAGCCGCCCGAGAACGGCCACUUCCGGCCUCCCGCCAGCAAACCGGAAGUAAGCCUAGCCACCAUUCUCCGCCGCCUCCGUGGGCCAGCGCUGACCGGAGGGGACCUCGGGGAAGAUGUCCGAGCAGUUGGAGCGCGCAGGGCGCCGAUGGGGAGUCCAGAGCGAGGAACUUAGAACAGAAAAGGUCGUGUAGAGGAUCUCUUGUUCUAAGGACUGACUCUUGGUCAUUUUUUGCGUCCCUUCUGGAAUUGUGAUCCUGCUUCCCCCCCUUUCUUUACAGCAGAUGGUUGCGUCCGUCCCGUAGCUUUCCUUUGCCCGCAUUCCAGAGCUGGGAGAGAGGCGGGGACCCGGGGCCCAAUUUCCAUGUAGGGAAAUCGCGGAGAGAGUUGCCGCGGGCCUCCGGUGACUGGCAUUGGCUCCGCCCCCGAGCGCCCGGCGUCCCCGUCCGGCUGGAGUGCGCCUGUGCAGGAAGUUGGUGUGCAUCAGCGUCGAGAAUCAAGUCAAUGUGGAAAAAUUAAUUGAAGUUUUACUACUCUACCUAAUGUCCUGAUAUGAAAUUCUAAUGAUUAGGCCCACUACCGAAGGCCUCUGAUGCUAUUUGACGUCCCUGUUCUUUUGGAACGUAGAAGAGCUCUUCCUAAAGCAGCAGGCUGAGAAGUCCAAGAUUAAGGAACUGACUGCUUCACUUCUUGCUGAAGACCUUUAUGGCUUACACACGGCCUCCUCCUUGCCCUAUUCUACAUGGCAGGGAGAAGUUUUCCCUCCUCUUCCUAGAGAGAGAGACAGAGUGUAUGAACCUUGUGGAACUCCCCAGCAAGGCUCACCCCCACUGAAAUCCGUACUUUAGGAAACAGCUACAUUGCCAAGCAUCUGUAGAUAUGCUCUGGAUUUAUGCUGAGUUCUCAUUUCCCAGAGAAGCAAUGGCAGACAAAAUUUCUCAUCUAUGUAACUGGUCCAACGUGAAAUUUCCUCAGCUGCACAGAUGGCCAGAUUAGCCUUAGGUAGGUUAGCUAUUGUUUGGAUAGAUAGGCUUAAUAAAAAGUAUUAUCCAAGGCAAAAGAGGACAAUAAAGAAAAUACUUAGCACCACUA